RNAcentral lists this ribosomal RNA (492 nucleotides) under uncultured bacterium. RNAcentral describes it as "partial 16S ribosomal RNA". It matches the Rfam family "Bacterial small subunit ribosomal RNA", at positions 29 to 507 of the family's 1533-position model. The record is from RNAcentral.
AGUGAACGCUGGCGGUAUGCCUAACACAUGCAAGUCGAACGGCAGCACAGUAAGAGCUUGCUCUUACGUGUGGCGAGUGGCGGACGGUUGAGGAAUACAUCGGAAUCUACUUUUUCGUGGGUGAUAACGUAGGGAAACGUACGCUAAUACCGCAUACGACCUACGGGUGAAAGCAGGGGAUCUUCGGACCUUGCGCUAUUGAAUGAGCCGAUGUCGGAUUAGCUAGUUGGCGGGGUAAAGGCCCACCAAGGCGACGAUCCGUAGCUGGUCUGAGAGGAUGAUCCGACACCCUGGAACUGAGACACGGUCCCGACUCCUGCGGGAGGCAGCAGCGGGGAAUAUUGGACAAUGGACGCAAGCCUGAUACAGCCAUACCGCGUGGGUGCAGAAGGCCUUAGGGUUGUAAAGCCAUUUUGUUCGGAAAGAAAAGCAGCAGGUUAAUCCCCCGCUGUUAUGACGGUACCCAAAGAAUAAGCACCGGCUAACUUCGUG